This 76-nucleotide transfer RNA is filed under the name Pseudomonadota bacterium. Its description in RNAcentral is "tRNA-Ile". It matches the Rfam family "tRNA". Rfam says of the family: Transfer RNA (tRNA) molecules are approximately 80 nucleotides in length. The record is from RNAcentral. Lineage: Bacteria; Pseudomonadati; Pseudomonadota. RNAcentral also lists the same sequence under 4 other names.
GGGCCUGUAGCUCAACGGUUAGAGCAGGGGACUCAUAAUCCCUUGGUUCCGGGUUCGAAUCCCGGCGGGCCCACCA